AAGAUACUAGUAAAACCAAAUACAUUACCUUGUCAAGGUAAAAUUGUGGGUUAGAACCCCACGUAUCUUA
Molecule: transfer RNA, 70 nt
Filed under: Ophichthys cuchia (cuchia)
Lineage: Eukaryota; Metazoa; Chordata; Actinopteri; Synbranchiformes; Synbranchidae
Description: tRNA-Asp
Rfam family: tRNA
About the family: Transfer RNA (tRNA) molecules are approximately 80 nucleotides in length. Their secondary structure includes four short double-helical elements and three loops (D, anti-codon, and T loops).
Source: RNAcentral